Molecule: ribosomal RNA, 442 nt
Filed under: uncultured Prevotella sp.
Lineage: Bacteria; Pseudomonadati; Bacteroidota; Bacteroidia; Bacteroidales; Prevotellaceae
Description: bacterial SSU rRNA
Rfam family: Bacterial small subunit ribosomal RNA
Source: RNAcentral
GGAUGAAUAUUGGUCAAUGGGCGGAAGCCUGAACCAGCCAAGUAGCGUGCAGGAUGACAGCCCUACGGGUUGUAAACCUCUUUUAUAAGGGAAUAAAAUACGGGACGUGUCCUGCUUUGCAUGUACCUUAUGAAUAAGGACCGGCUAAUUCCGUGCCAGCAGCCGCGGUAAUACGGAAGGUCCGGGCGUUAUCCGGAUUCAUUGGGUUUAAAGGGAGCGUAGGCCGCCUUUUAAGCGUGUUGUGAAAUGUCCUGGCUCAACCAGGGCACUGCAGCGCGAACUGGAGGGCUUGAGUGCGCACGACGCAGGCGGAAUUCGUGGUGUAGCGGUGAAAUGCUUAGAUAUCACGAAGAACCCCGAUUGCGAAGGCAGCUUGCGAGAGCGCUACUGACGCUGAAGCUCGAAGGUGCGGGUAUCGAACAGGAUUAGAUACCCUGGUAGU